GGGAAAUCACAAUUGUGAUCAAAGCGACGUUGUAAGCGUAGUCUGUGGAGGUGUAUCUCAUGGGGACGUUCGACUUGUUAAUGGAUAUACUAUAUAUGAAGGAAGGGUUGAAAUGUAUUACAACGGGAAUUGGGCAUCUGUGUGCAAUGACGGUUGGAAUUUUAAGGAUGCGAAUGUGGUGUGUAAG
This is a long non-coding RNA of Corticium candelabrum, 187 nucleotides long. RefSeq lists it as uncharacterized. The transcript has 3 exons. Lineage: Eukaryota; Metazoa; Porifera; Homoscleromorpha; Homosclerophorida; Plakinidae. The record is from RefSeq and is a predicted model, not a curated record.